RNAcentral lists this ribosomal RNA (253 nucleotides) under uncultured bacterium. RNAcentral describes it as "partial 16S ribosomal RNA". It matches the Rfam family "Bacterial small subunit ribosomal RNA", at positions 524 to 776 of the family's 1533-position model. The record is from RNAcentral.
UACAGAGGGGGCAAGCGUUGUUCGGAAUUACUGGGCGUAAAGGGCGCGUAGGCGGCCUUCUAAGUCGAACGUGAAAUCCCCGGGCUUAACCCGGGAACUGCGUCCGAUACUGGGAGGCUUGAAUUCGGGAGAGGGAUGCGGAAUUCCAGGUGUAGCGGUGAAAUGCGUAGAUAUCUGGAGGAACACCGGUGGCGAAGGCGGCAUCCUGGACCGACAUUGACGCUGAUGCGCGAAAGCCAGGGGAGCAAACGGG